AUUUAUUGACCUCACUAGGUGCCAGGCACUGAGCUGUGUGCCAGAGCCCACUGCACAGAGCGCUUUCUCUCCUGAUGUUCAAACCUCCUAGCCAUGGACCCUAAAGGCGUGUUUGCUGCAGUUUGAAGCAUGAAGCCCACAAAGCAGGACACUGGGAUGCUGCCCCUAUUUCAUAAGGAAAUGUGUUUUGUGAAAGUGGAAUCAGAGGCAGCUUUUAAAAUACAUCAGGAAUUCUGCUACCAGGAAGAUGGAAUACAUGUACUUUCCCCUUUUUCUCCCACAAAGUACAACUAAAAACCUUGGACAUUAUGUAAAAAAGAAACAUAAGAAGACUCUGAGAAGUGGAGAGGAGACACAAUGACUAGCAAUAUGGGGACCGAAGGAGCAGCACGGUGACAAGCUGCCUGGGAUUUUUUUUUUUUCAUCACAUAUCCCAGACUUGGACAUGAAGAAGCCAGUGACCCAGAAAUGCUAAGGGAUAUAGAUGCCCCCCCCC
Long non-coding RNA from Rhinolophus ferrumequinum (greater horseshoe bat), 496 nucleotides. RefSeq lists it as uncharacterized. The transcript has 2 exons. The record is from RefSeq and is a predicted model, not a curated record. Lineage: Eukaryota; Metazoa; Chordata; Mammalia; Chiroptera; Rhinolophidae.